This 452-nucleotide ribosomal RNA is filed under the name uncultured bacterium. Its description in RNAcentral is "bacterial SSU rRNA". It matches the Rfam family "Bacterial small subunit ribosomal RNA", at positions 340 to 784 of the family's 1533-position model. The record is from RNAcentral.
UACGGAAGGCAGCAGUGGGGAAUAUUGCACAAUGGGCGCAAGCCUGAUGCAGCCAUGCCGCGUGUAUGAAGAAGGCCUUCGGGUUGUAAAGUACUUUCAGUCGUGAGGAAGGUGUUAAGGUUAAUAACCUUAGCAAUUGACGUUAGCGACAGAAGAAGCACCGGCUAACUCCGUGCCAGCAGCCGCGGUAAUACGGAGGGUGCGAGCGUUAAUCGGAAUUACUGGGCGUAAAGGGCACGCAGGCGGUUAAUUAAGUUGGAUGUGAAAUCCCCGGGCUUAACCUGGGAAUGGCAUUCAAGACUGGUUAGCUAGAGUCUUGUAGAGGGGGUAGAAUUCCAUGUGUAGCGGUGAAAUGCGUAGAGAUGUGGAGGAAUACCGGUGGCGAAGGCGGCCCCUGGGACAAAGACUGACGCUCAUGUGCGAAAGCGUGGGGAGCAAACGAGGAUUAGAUA